Molecule: ribosomal RNA, 2925 nt
Filed under: Escherichia coli
Lineage: Bacteria; Pseudomonadati; Pseudomonadota; Gammaproteobacteria; Enterobacterales; Enterobacteriaceae
Description: 23S ribosomal RNA
Rfam family: Bacterial large subunit ribosomal RNA
Source: RNAcentral
GGGUUGUGAGGUUAAGCGACUAAGCGUACACGGUGGAUGCCCUGGCAGUCAGAGGCGAUGAAGGACGUGCUAAUCUGCGAUAAGCGUCGGUGAGGUGAUAUGAACCGUUAUAACCGGCGAUUUCCGAAUGGGGAAACCCAGUGUGUUUCGACACACUAUCAUUAACUGAAUCCAUAGGUUAAUGAGGCGAACCGGGGGAACUGAAACAUCUAAGUACCCCGAGGAAAAGAAAUCAACCGAGAUUCCCCCAGUAGCGGCGAGCGAACGGGGAGGAGCCCAGAGCCUGAAUCAGUGUGUGUGUUAGUGGAAGCGUCUGGAAAGGCGYGCGAUACAGGGUGACAGCCCCGUACACAAAAAUGCACAURYUGUGAGCUCGAUGAGUAGGGCGGGACACGUGGUAUCCUGUCUGAAUAUGGGGGGACCAUCCUCCAAGGCUAAAUACUCCUGACUGACCGAUAGUGAACCAGUACCGUGAGGGAAAGGCGAAAAGAACCCCGGCGAGGGGAGUGAAAAAGAACCUGAAACCGUGUACGUACAAGCAGUGGGAGCCUCUUWAUGGGGUGACUGCGUACCUUUUGUAUAAUGGGUCAGCGACUUAUAUUCUGUAGCAAGGUUAACCGAAUAGGGGAGCCGAAGGGAAACCGAGUCUUAACUGGGCGUUAAGUUGCAGGGUAUAGACCCGAAACCCGGUGAUCUAGCCAUGGGCAGGUUGAAGGUUGGGUAACACUAACUGGAGGACCGAACCGACUAAUGUUGAAAAAUUAGCGGAUGACUUGUGGCUGGGGGUGAAAGGCCAAUCAAACCGGGAGAUAGCUGGUUCUCCCCGAAAGCUAUUUAGGUAGCGCCUCGUGAAUUCAUCUCCGGGGGUAGAGCACUGUUUCGGCAAGGGGGUCAUCCCGACUUACCAACCCGAUGCAAACUGCGAAUACCGGAGAAUGUUAUCACGGGAGACACACGGCGGGUGCUAACGUCCGUCGUGAAGAGGGAAACAACCCAGACCGCCAGCUAAGGUCCCAAAGUCAUGGUUAAGUGGGAAACGAUGUGGGAAGGCCCAGACAGCCAGGAUGUUGGCUUAGAAGCAGCCAUCAUUUAAAGAAAGCGUAAUAGCUCACUGGUCGAGUCGGCCUGCGCGGAAGAUGUAACGGGGCUAAACCAUGCACCGAAGCUGCGGCAGCGACACUAUGUGUUGUUGGGUAGGGGAGCGUUCUGUAAGCCUGUGAAGGUGGCCUGUGAGGGUUGCUGGAGGUAUCAGAAGUGCGAAUGCUGACAUAAGUAACGAUAAAGCGGGUGAAAAGCCCGCUCGCCGGAAGACCAAGGGUUCCUGUCCAACGUUAAUCGGGGCAGGGUGAGUCGACCCCUAAGGCGAGGCCGAAAGGCGUAGUCGAUGGGAAACAGGUUAAUAUUCCUGUACUUGGUGUUACUGCGAAGGGGGGACGGAGAAGGCUAUGUUGGCCGGGCGACGGUUGUCCCGGUUUAAGCGUGUAGGCUGRUUUUCCAGGCAAAUCCGGAAAACCAAGGCUGAGGCGUGAUGACGAGGCACUACGGUGCUGAAGCGACAAAUGCCCUGCUUCCAGGAAAAGCCUCUAAGCAUCAGGUAACAUCAAAUCGUACCCCAAACCGACACAGGUGGUCAGGUAGAGAAUACCAAGGCGCUUGAGAGAACUCGGGUGAAGGAACUAGGCAAAAUGGUGCCGUAACUUCGGGAGAAGGCACGCUGAUAUGUAGGUGAAGCGACUUGCUCGUGGAGCUGAAAUCAGUCGAAGAUACCAGCUGGCUGCAACUGUUUAUUAAAAACACAGCACUGUGCAAACACGAAAGUGGACGUAUACGGUGUGACGCCUGCCCGGUGCCGGAAGGUUAAUUGAUGGGGUUAGCGGCAACGCGAAGCUCUUGAUCGAAGCCCCGGUAAACGGCGGCCGUAACUAUAACGGUCCUAAGGUAGCGAAAUUCCUUGUCGGGUAAGUUCCGACCUGCACGAAUGGCGUAAUGAUGGCCAGGCUGUCUCCACCCGAGACUCAGUGAAAUUGAACUCGCUGUGAAGAUGCAGUGUACCCGCGGCAAGACGGAAAGACCCCGUGAACCUUUACUAUAGCUUGACACUGAACAUUGAGCCUUGAUGUGUAGGAUAGGUGGGAGGCUUUGAAGUGUGGACGCCAGUCUGCAUGGAGCCGACCUUGAAAUACCACCCUUUAAUGUUUGAUGUUCUAACGUUGGCCCGUAAUCCGGGUUGCGGACAGUGUCUGGUGGGUAGUUUGACUGGGGCGGUCUCCUCCUAAAGAGUAACGGAGGAGCACGAAGGUUGGCUAAUCCUGGUCGGACAUCAGGAGGUUAGUGCAAUGGCAUAAGCCAGCUUGACUGCGAGCGUGACGGCGCGAGCAGGUGCGAAAGCAGGUCAUAGUGAUCCGGUGGUUCUGAAUGGAAGGGCCAUCGCUCAACGGAUAAAAGGUACUCCGGGGAUAACAGGCUGAUACCGCCCAAGAGUUCAUAUCGACGGCGGUGUUUGGCACCUCGAUGUCGGCUCAUCACAUCCUGGGGCUGAAGUAGGUCCCAAGGGUAUGGCUGUUCGCCAUUUAAAGUGGUACGCGAGCUGGGUUUAGAACGUCGUGAGACAGUUCGGUCCCUAUCUGCCGUGGGCGCUGGAGAACUGAGGGGGGCUGCUCCUAGUACGAGAGGACCGGAGUGGACGCAUCACUGGUGUUCGGGUUGUCAUGCCAAUGGCACUGCCCGGUAGCUAAAUGCGGAAGAGAUAAGUGCUGAAAGCAUCUAAGCACGAAACUUGCCCCGAGAUGAGUUCUCCCUGACUCCUUGAGAGUCCUGAAGGAACGUUGAAGACGACGACGUUGAUAGGCCGGGUGUGUAAGCGCAGCGAUGCGUUGAGCUAACCGGUACUAAUGAACCGUGAGGCUUAACCUUACAACGCCGAAG